This 55-nucleotide transfer RNA is filed under the name Salvelinus alpinus alpinus. RNAcentral describes it as "partial tRNA-Pro". Lineage: Eukaryota; Metazoa; Chordata; Actinopteri; Salmoniformes; Salmonidae. The record is from RNAcentral.
CAGAGGGUAGUUUAAUUUAGAAUCUUAGCUUUGGGAGUUAAGGGCGGGAGUUAAA